RNAcentral lists this ribosomal RNA (324 nucleotides) under uncultured eukaryote. Its description in RNAcentral is "partial 18S ribosomal RNA". It matches the Rfam family "Eukaryotic small subunit ribosomal RNA", at positions 1470 to 1796 of the family's 1831-position model. The record is from RNAcentral.
CCCUUAGAUGUUCUGGGCUGCACGCGCGCUACACUGAAGCUGUCAACACGUUUUCCCUCCCUGAGAAGGGCGGGUAACCUUUUGAAUCAGCUUCGUGGUAGGGAUCGGGGCUUGCAAUUGUUCCCCGUGAACCAGGAAUUCCUAGUAGACGCGAGUCAUAAGCUCGCAUCGAUUAAGUCCCUGCCCUUUGUACACACCGCCCGUCGCUACUACCGAUUGAACGUUUUAGUGAGGCAUUUGGACCGACGCAUCUCAGUUUAACCGCUGGUUUGUGUUGGAAAGACUUCCAAACUUGAGCGUUUAGAGGAAGUAAAAGUCGUAACA